Molecule: non-coding RNA, 443 nt
Filed under: Tyto alba (common barn owl)
Lineage: Eukaryota; Metazoa; Chordata; Aves; Strigiformes; Tytonidae
Description: Eukaryotic small subunit ribosomal RNA
Rfam family: Eukaryotic small subunit ribosomal RNA
Source: Rfam by way of RNAcentral
CCCUUAGUAUACCUAAGAUGACAUAUUAUGUAAAUUUUUGUUUAGUCAAUACCAUAAUGAGUUGCAAGUAGUUUAUUGGCUUUGUAAGGUUGAAAUUCCAUAAAGUUUUAUAUUUCAUAUUCAGUGUUAAUAUUCGGGUGGCUUCAAAACAGAGUCAAAUUUACAAAAGGUAUUCUGGAAUAGGACUCCGGUUCUGUUUUGUUGGUUUUCAGAAAUAAGGCCAUGAUUAAGAGGGAUGGCCAAGGGCAUUCACAGUGUGCCACUAGAGAUUAAAUUCUUGGACUGGCACAAGGAACCCUAGAGCUAAAGCUUUUGCUAAGAAUUUCAUUAAUCAAAAAGGAAAGUCAGAUAUUUGAAGAUAAUCAGAUACUGUCGUAGUUCCAACCAUAAAUGAUGCUGAUGGGGUGGGGGCAGGGGGGGUCUAUGUGACACAAUUUGUUAGC